Diachasma alloeum is the source of this 458-nucleotide long non-coding RNA. RefSeq lists it as uncharacterized. Lineage: Eukaryota; Metazoa; Arthropoda; Insecta; Hymenoptera; Braconidae. The transcript has 3 exons. The record is from RefSeq and is a predicted model, not a curated record.
UGAAGUGUCAAGAGAUGCACAAACAAUUCAAUGUACUCCUUGCAACCAGCCACCAUCGAACGUUGAAAUUAAACGUAUUGAUGACUCUGAAAAUAUCCCUCCACUAAUUAAUAUUGAGAUUGUAAACGAUGUGCCUGUCCACAUAUCUCUGGUAUCAUCAGGUGAUAUCCUUGUGGAUACAGCACCAGUCAGGGACCUAGUCGAUGAUCAACCAAGAUGCUCACAUGACAAUGCUGAAAAGCCAGCGGUAUCGAAACGAGUCCUGAGUGACAAUGUAUCCUAUGAUGAAAUCACCGAAGUGAUUUAUCCAUCAACAUCAGCAGAAACGCCCAAAAGAAGAGCAGCGGCAAGAGAAACGAGUCCACAGAAAGAAGGAGGGACUUCGAAUCACACACUGCUGAAUAAAAAAACAUGGGGGCUGAUGGCCAACAGAGAUAUUUCACCCCUUAAGGCCCAUA